Camelina sativa (false flax) is the source of this 392-nucleotide non-coding RNA. The record is from RefSeq and is a predicted model, not a curated record. NCBI's taxonomy places the organism in Eukaryota, Viridiplantae, Streptophyta, Magnoliopsida, Brassicales, Brassicaceae.
AGUAGAGAGACUCCUGCGAAGAAGGUGGAGGAUGUAAUGCCCAUUGCAACUGGACUUGAGAAGGAGGAGCUUGACGCUGAAAUAAAGGUGGAGUUUUGCUAUUAGACUAAGUUACUGCAAAAGAACAAAACAAAAACCUGUCAAAUGAAUGUUUUUUUUGUACUGUUCCUAAGUCUGAUGAUGUCUACCUCAAGCCUCUCGUAAAUGGGUAAAGACUCUUUUGGAAUGACACCAAAGACUUGGAGGCUACCAAAACAGAGGAGAUUGGAUUUAGUAACGGCUUUGCAACAAGUAAGAAAUGCUUAACCUUGAAGGAGCUUCUUCAACAAAGGUUUAUCACAUAGUCGUGCAUGUUGUUGUUAUCCUUGUAUGAUCCAAAACCUUAGGUUAUG